UGCUUUUAUCCACUGAAUAUUUGGCUACAAAAUUUAUCCAAUGGGUAAAUAUAAUUUAUUGCAGUAAAAUUGAUACUUUCUGCUUUAUACAGCUGUAUACAGCUACUUCAAUUAAUUCUGGCUCCAAAUUGCCGCCCAAAUAAAUUUGAAACAUAAAACAGGCAAUCUUAGAGCCAAUUUGCUGAAAACUCAGCCUAUAAAUAUCAAUUCAUUUCAGACCAUUAUUUUCUAUGCCAACUUUCUCUCUGUUUUGGAUUUAUGCAAACUUUCUCUCUCAUUGUUCUAAUUCUUUUAAUCUAUUUUUGAUUGAUCGAAUUCUUUUUACUGUAUUUUUUUAUAUUUAUGAUUUUUAUGUGAUUCUUUCAUUUUUGUUUUCUGUAGUUUUUUUUCAUAUUCACUAUUAGUCUCAAUUACAACUCAAAUACUAACCAAUUAUUACAAUAUUUUUUCUAUUUUAUAGAUAAUAUUUCUGAAUCUGGAGUUGCAUCUGGAGCAUGGAAGUUUUGCAUUUCGAAUCUGCAAAAGAAUCUGGAGCUACACAGAUGAAGAGUUAAUUCUGGAGCAUGGAUGUUUUGCCUUUCAAAUCUGCAAAAGCCACAAAAAAUGGUUCGUGUAUAUUCAAGAUUUAUAGGAAAAUGGAUAAAAAUUGUAAAUCUACUUUAUAAAUUGGCAGUAGAAGAAGAAAUAUGUUCAUAUGGCAUAAAAAUCAUUUUACAAUAAAUAAAGGUUGAGCUACAAGUUCUCAAUCUCUAUGGUUUAUUUGAUGAAAACACAUCACAAUUGAAUUCUAACAACAAUUAUCCAUUUAUGAGAUGCAUAUGCAGAGAUGUUGAACUAUCAAAAGCAUUGUAUGCAUUGUUCAAGGUUGUUACUUUUUGUUAGAUUUAGUAAAGUUCUUGAUUUAAAUUAAAGAAUUUCAGUUGAGUAGAAUAUGUACUUUUUACUAAGGAAAAAUAAACUUGAUUUAAGAUGGAAACACAUACAAACAUUUGUAUUUUUUUUUAAUAUGCAUGCAUAGAUAGAGAAUAUGACGAUACCUUUUUCCACUUUUCUUUUUCACUUAGUCAAGGGAAAUGAAGCUGAGGAAUUUUCGGCCACAGUCUUGUGAUUACCAGUGCAUAAUCAUAACAAAAAGUUUGUUGGAUAUUUACAUCCAUUCAGUGAAACUAAUGUGUAAAAAAAUAAAGAUAUUCCUCAACUAAUCUGGAAAAAAAAAUCUUUUUUAGAAAUGCAGAUACACCGAGAGGUUACACCCUGCAAAAGCACCAUUUUUUUAGACUUGAGCAAAUACAAAAGUGAGGGAUGUAAUACCAGGGAGAAAGGGAAGAUGCAGACAAUGAAGAAGGCUGCCGCUGGAAUUGAAAAGAUGUUCAACUCAUCUUUAUUGAAAAUAUGUUCAUUUAAUAAUACCCAUUUGUGUAUAAACUGGCAGAUCUACAAGCGAAAAAAAAUAAAGAUGUUCAUAGAUCUGCAAAAGUAAUAUGUGAAAAAAUAUAAAGAUGUUCUCUGUAUAAAAAAAAACUUAUAUGCAAAAACAAAAAUUGUUGGUUUAAGAACCAAUUUGUGUAGAUAUUCAUAAAUCUACAAAAAUGAUACCAUAAACACAAAAAAUGAAAAAGUAAAAAACGAAAAAAAUAAUAUGCUAAAGAACCUAAAGAUACUAUAAAAACAAUAAAAAAUGAAUAACUAAAAAACAAAAAACCUAUAAGCGAAAAAAAUAAAGAUCUCAGUAUAAAAAAAUUAUUCUUUUAUGAACCCAUUAGUGUAGAUAUUAUUAGAUCUAUGACAAUGAAAAUUAUAAGAUAAACACACAAAAAACUAAAGAAUGAAAAAAACUAAAAAACGAAGUAUAAAUAUUCGAAAAAAUAAAUAAAGAUCUUCUGUUUUAAAAUACAUAUCUACCGAAAAUAAUGCCAUAAACACAAAAAAAAAUGAAAAACUAAUCUACAACAAAAUGAAGAUAUUUUUGUUUGACGUGUGCAGAUAUUCACAAAUCUGCCAAAAAAAAAAGCAGACGAGGGGGAAUGGAAGGGGAAUAUGGAGAGAGGGAGAAGAGGAACAUUUGAGAAGAGGUUGGGUUAGGUGACGGUAGAAGACGGUGGAAAAUUGGAGGAGUUUGGAGACAAACUGAGGUGAGGUAGACUCUAUGGAGAAAUAUGUUUGGAGGAUUGGAUCUGGAAAGUGAAACGGCGGAUCUGUAAUGCAAUUAGGGUAGAAUUUUGGGAGAAGUGCUGAAUACUCUAGAAGCGGCUGAAACUCUAAAAACUAAU
RNAcentral lists this long non-coding RNA (2270 nucleotides) under Salvia miltiorrhiza (redroot sage). Its description in RNAcentral is "long non-coding RNA (SMIL_LNC006304)". The record is from RNAcentral. Lineage: Eukaryota; Viridiplantae; Streptophyta; Magnoliopsida; Lamiales; Lamiaceae.